This 132-nucleotide ribosomal RNA is filed under the name uncultured bacterium. RNAcentral describes it as "partial 16S ribosomal RNA". It matches the Rfam family "Bacterial small subunit ribosomal RNA", at positions 396 to 524 of the family's 1533-position model. The record is from RNAcentral.
GUAGCGUGCAGGAUGACAGGCCCUAUGGGUUGUAAACUGCUUUUAUGUGGGGAUAAAGUGCGUGACGUGUCAUGCAUUGCAGGUACCACAUGAAUAAGGACCGGCUAAUUCCGUGCCAGCAGCCGCGGUAAU